Molecule: non-coding RNA, 203 nt
Organism: Pelobates cultripes (western spadefoot toad)
Lineage: Eukaryota; Metazoa; Chordata; Amphibia; Anura; Pelobatidae
Source: the annotation of a GenBank genome assembly
CUCCAAACAGCGCAAAUCCGGAGUGCUGCACACGGGUACCCACCCAGGUACAACUCCCGAAAUGGGCCCACCCAACAUCAGAGCUGCAAGGGGGGCAACCUACCCACGCCGGCAGGGACAUCAACGCCAGUGGAGGUGCCCACGGAGGUCCGGGAAUGAGGCCCGACGCAACCACACACCAAGAUACCAGCCACAGACACGAC